GCAUCGGGAAUAUAGCUUUGCAAAAUUUCAACAUGGCCACGACUGGAAAAUUUAAGCCAAACGAAGGCGACUGGAUUUGUCCUGAGCCUAAGUGCGGGAAUGUUAAUUUUGCAAGAAGAUCUCAGUGUAACAAAUGUGGAAAAGACCGAAAGGAAGGCAUAGUUUACAAGAAAGGAGGAACAGAGAUUGGAAAAAACCUAGCAGAGAAAAGCAAAGGUCUUUUCAGUGCUGAUGACUGGCAGUGUAAAACAUGUGGAAAUGUAAACUGGGCAAGACGUAUGACAUGUAACAUGUGUAAUACUCCAAAAUAUGGGAAGCAGGAACAGCGAACAGGAUUUGGUGGUGGCUAUAUGGAAAGAGAUGAAGUUGUUGAAUACAAAGAACGGGUUGAGGAUGAUGAAUAUGAUGAGUUUGGCCGAAAGAAGAAGAAAAGUAGAGCUUCAGUUGAAGAAAGACCAAAUGUAUAUGCUGCUAUUAAGGAAGAAGAAAAUGAUGACGAAGAAAAUGGAGAUACUUCUGCAUACAAACUUGAAUCGGAGGAUGAGCAGGAAGAAGAAGAUGAUGAUGAUGAUGGAGACCUUGGUCAAUAUGAUCUUGCUGCUAGUGAUGAAGAUGAAAAAGUAAUUCCUGGUGAUAAAAGGUCGAGGUCAUCAAGUUACAGCUCACAGUCGUCAGACAGUUCAAGUGCAAGGUCUUCAUCUAGUUCCAGAUCAAGGUCGAGGUCGAGAUCAAAAGAGAGAAAACGAGCUAGAUACUCACGGUCUAGGUCCAGGUAACUGGUAACAGGGGUACUGGUAAAGGUCAAAGAUCUCACGAAGACUCUUCAGAUGAUUCAAGGUCACGAUCUGGCUCGCGUGACAGGAAAUAAGGCGGUCAAGAAUGUAGAAACACCAAGCUGAGAUACAAGUACCAAGAAAAAGGAACCUAAACCAAAAUGCCAGCUGACAUGCAGGAAAAUUAAUAAUAUGCAGGAUCAGUUACUGUUUACAUUUUUUGUACUAGCAAGAUUAUCCAUAAAAAUUGAAAUGGAUUUAAUACUAGAUGAGUUUGUAUGCACAUUACAUAGCAUUAUCAUUGAAAUGUUUUUACAAUUGUAACAUUAAGAAGCUGUAAGUCUUUAGCUUUCCCUAGCACAAAGUGCUCAAGUUGAGCUCUUGUUAUAACACUGUUUGUUGUCCAAUAAUAUUGGUCAUUGACAGUUUUACUGUUAAUACUUUAGAGGUCAAAAUUUUUGUCCUCCAAUACAAAUGAUAACUUGCCUCAAUAAUAUCCUUAAGCCUGCCCGCUUAGCUCAGUAGGUAGAGCGUCGGUCUACGAAUUGCUGGGUCCCGAGUUCGAUCCUAGGGCGGGGCUUAUGUUCUCUGUGAUUAUUUGAUAAACGUCAUUGUAUCUGAAAUCAUUAGUCCUCCACCUCUGAUUUAUGUGGGGAAGUUGGCAUUUACUUGCAGAGAACAGGUUUGUACUGGUACAGAAUCCAGGAACACUGGUUAGGUUAACUGCCCGCCGUUACAUGACUGAAAUAUUGUUGAAAAACGGUGUUAAACCCAAAACAAAACAAAAAUCAAUAAUAUCUUUCAUGAUGCUUGAUCAUCUAGGGUCAAAAGUUAGGUAAGGAUGUCAAAUCAUAGGAAGUUUUGUUAACAUAACCUCCAGAUGAAACAAUUUUUAAAAGAUUUUCAUGAAACCUGGUCUGUCUAUAGAAAUUAGUUGAUUUUUGAAAUUGAUCAUUUGGGUCAGCAACUUAGUCACUAGGUCAAAUCUUACAAAACAGGGUCACGAUUUUUGUCCAAUCCUAAUGUUAUGUGGUCAGAAUAUAAUUCCUGGACAAGAAGUAUUGGAAACUAGAUCAUCUGGGGUCAUAACCUAUAUGUUAGUAGAUCAAAUUAUAGAAAAAUCUUGAUAACAUAACACUAGAGGUCAUUUAUAUGAAAUCUGGUCUGAAUGUUUGCCUUAAUGAAAUCUUGUUUAAAACUGGUUUAAAAACUAGAUAUGGUGAGCCAUUCUAUAUUUACUGUAUUACAGUUCUUAAUGUAGAGCAAUCUAGGAUUAACAAGUAAAAAGUAUAAACAUUUUAUAGACCUUCUUGAGGAGAAUUAUAAAGUAAAAACAAUUUAGAGGUCUAACAGUGCUUGUACAAAACUUGGACAGCAACUAUUGACCUGCUGUCAAACCUAUAUAAAUUUAUGUUUCAAGAUGUAAUAAAGCAGCUUUUGAGAUAAAUCUGUGACUUAUAGAUUUUAUUAAAAUAAAAUCAUUCAGAAGAA
Molecule: RNA transcript, 2264 nt
Organism: Mercenaria mercenaria
Lineage: Eukaryota; Metazoa; Mollusca; Bivalvia; Venerida; Veneridae
Gene name: zinc finger Ran-binding domain-containing protein 2-like
Exons: 8
Source: RefSeq, a predicted model, not a curated record